Molecule: small nucleolar RNA, 134 nt
Organism: Gymnodraco acuticeps
Lineage: Eukaryota; Metazoa; Chordata; Actinopteri; Perciformes; Bathydraconidae
Product: small nucleolar RNA SNORA15
Exons: 1
Source: RefSeq, a predicted model, not a curated record
GCAUGGACGAAUUCUGUUCCAGCUGUUCUGUGUUGGCUACAGUCAGACACCAUGCAAAAGUAUUUCUGAUUUCUGCCUAAUAACUGGGUGAGUGCUUCUCGGCCUCAUCCAGCUGUGCAGGAAACGGUACAAUU